This is a non-coding RNA of Meleagris gallopavo (turkey), 2163 nucleotides long. The record is from RefSeq and is a predicted model, not a curated record. NCBI's taxonomy places the organism in Eukaryota, Metazoa, Chordata, Aves, Galliformes, Phasianidae.
GUAUUUUGCUGGAGAUCCCUGCUUACUUGAGGCCUUCUGAAGAAUUUAUUGCUCUCAAAGGACCUGGAUACCACAGAGGCAUCCAAGUGCCUGAUUGCCACCAACGCCAAAGGGAGCUGCCCUAAAUGUCCACUGGAGGACCAUAUGCCCAAACCAGACACAUUUAGAAGAGGAUUACUCUCUAUGUGAGCUGAUAAUCUCUGUGGGGUUUGAGCAGAAAAUCAGUCUUCCAUUUUCUGCUGCUUGAGCAGCUGAGGAACAGGGAGGAGGACUGCAAGCUGCCAAAAGGUGGCUGCAGUGACUUCUGAAUCCUGGAAAGGACAGGUCCUGUGCAAGGGGCAGUUAUGUCAGCCCCCAGUUUAGAAAGGCCCUGCAUGUCUAAUACAUUCCCAGCCUGCUCAGCUUCCUCGGAAAGAAUUUGCUCUUGGCCCUCGCUUUCAGCCUACAUUGUCUCAGAGUUCACAAAACAAUGACUGGAUCAUCAAAGUGUCCUGAAUUAGCCUCUCCUGUCACAGUGGUAUGAAAACAGCAGUGAACCGAUCUCCUUGCAGCUUUUAGCAAGCUGUGUCACUAUGGCUCAUUUCUUGAAUUUCCCACACCAGAUGCCAGGUGUUUUUUUGAGCCCAUAUGUUAUGACUGCAACGUGGGAGCUCAUGACCUAGAGUAGCUCUCUUGCAGGUAGAGUGAAAACAGCAGAUGAGAGAGAACAUCAGGAUAAAUUUAGGUUGGGUUGCUGGGUGCACACAAGUAGGACAUGGCAAUAUCAUCCCUCAGGGUGCACAGGGAGUUGUUGAUGUCCCUAUUCAUUGCAGUUGGACCAGAUGACCUUUAGUGGUCCCUUCCAAAGAGUCUGUUUGCGUGACCACUCCUUUCCACGCUGCAGUGAGAGAUGUUGCUCCAAGGAGCAGGUUGUUGAACAAAACUCUCCAACAUGGACCAGUUAUGGCAAGUACUGGCACUCAGGGCGUAUAUCUGGAACUACAGAGCAGUGGUCCUCUUAGACUGCUAACAGAAAAUGUCUUCCACUGCUGAUAGUGCACCUGCAGUUCACAUGGCCCAGAAGGACAGCACGUGGAGAAACUGGUGCUUGCUGCUUGAGUUUAAGCUAUUUCUUCUUCAGUUUCACAGCCAAGGUGUCCAUUUGGAAGCUUAUGGAAGAGCAGGGAUGUUUUCGAAUAUCUAACAUCCACCUGGUAAAUACCUGGCUGAUAUCCACCUGCUGCUGAAAAUACUGAAAAAUGGAAAAUGCAGUUACCUAAUCUGACUUGGGUUAGCAUGUAAUUAAUUUGCCCAGUAAAGUCAGGCAGUCUGCAUCCACUUCUAAUACAGAGUAAAAAUUAUUUCCCACCCCACUUGUGCUCGGUGAGGCUUGAGUAAUGUUAGGGUUGGCUGACUUUUUGAAAUGAUAUUCCAUCUUGCGUCUUGGUAAACACUUGACAAAAAUAACAGUCUCCCACUUGAAAACAGUCUCCCUCUUCUUUCUAUUUCAGCAAUCUCUCCAAUUUGCUGAAGUGUCUCCUUGUUUCCAAUUUGCAGUGUCUGGGGUCCUUGGGAGCACUCGGGGGGAUUUGUUGCAGUAGUUUUGCAGCUGCCCUGUUUGGAUGAGGAGAGAUUUCUGCAUGUCCCUGUGUCUGCCCAUCAUACAGGAGGUCCUGACCUUUCCCAGCCCUGAUACAAAGCUGCCUGAACUCGUGCUGCCUUGAGAAUUCAUGCCUUUGCAUAUUUCAUUAAGGCUACUGGUGUCAUAAAAAAAAGCUGAAAUAAAAUGCAGCAAAAGGAGAAAGCUGAGUGGAGGGGGCAGAUGUGUAACAAGGCAAAAGGAGUAGCAAAAAGGAGAAAUUGCAUUAUUUCUGGAGUCACUUGUUAAUACAGAUUCCAUCUAGUGAUCGACAGAAUCACAAAUGUUGGAAAAAACCACUAAGAUCCCCAGCUCACCCCCACCAUAACCACUGCCCAUGUCCCUCAGUGCCACAUCCCCAUGGCUCUGGAACAUCAUCAGGAUGGUGACUGCUCUCUGUGCCAAUGCACCUCUUAAAUUUCAGAGAAAAAAUUUUUCCUAAUCUCUGACCUGAACCUCCACUGGCUCAACUUGAUGCCAUCACCUCUCACGCUGUUACCAGGGAGCAGAGGCUGACCCCUGCCUCACAACACCCUCUUUUCAGA